UGCAAUGUGGCCCAGUGGUAGAGUGCUUGCCUAGCAUGCAUGGAGCUCUGGGUUCAAUUUCCCAGUAGCACAU
Molecule: non-coding RNA, 73 nt
Organism: Dipodomys ordii (Ord's kangaroo rat)
Lineage: Eukaryota; Metazoa; Chordata; Mammalia; Rodentia; Heteromyidae
Source: Rfam